AUUGAACGCUGGCGGCAGGCCUAACACAUGCAAGUAGAACGAGUGGCGGACGGGUGAGUAAUGUCUGGGAACCUGCCUGAUGGAGGGGGAUAAAUACUGGAAACGGUAGAUAAUAACGCAUACCAUCGGAUGUGCCCAUAUGGGAUUAGCUAGUAGGUGGGGUAACGGCUCACCUAGGCGCCGAUCCCUAGCUGGUCUGCGAGGAUGACCAGCCACACUGGAACUGAUACACGGUCCAGACUCCUACGGGAGGCAGCAGUGGGGAAUAUUGCACAAUGGGCGCAAGCCUGAUGCAGCCAUGCCGCGUGUAUGAAGAAGGCCUUCGGGUUGUAAAGUACUUUCAGCGGGGAGGCGUUACCCGCAGAAGAAGCACCGGCUAACUCCGUGCCAGCCGCCGCGGUAAUAC
Molecule: ribosomal RNA, 406 nt
Filed under: uncultured bacterium
Lineage: Bacteria
Description: partial 16S ribosomal RNA
Rfam family: Bacterial small subunit ribosomal RNA
Source: RNAcentral